UACGUAGGGUGCAAGCGUUAAUCUGAAUUACUGGGCGUAAAGCGUGCGCAGGCGGUUUUGUAAGUUUGUCGUGAAAGCCCCGGGCUCAACCCGGGAAUUGCGAUGGAGACUGCAAGGCUUGAAUCUGGCAGAGGGGGGUAGAAUUCCACGUGUAGCAGUGAAAUGCGUAGAGAUGUGGAGGAACACCGAUGGCGAAGGCAGCCCCCUGGGUCAAGAUUGACGCUCAUGCACGAAAGCGUGGGGAGCAAACAGG
RNAcentral lists this ribosomal RNA (253 nucleotides) under uncultured bacterium. RNAcentral describes it as "partial 16S ribosomal RNA". It matches the Rfam family "Bacterial small subunit ribosomal RNA", at positions 524 to 776 of the family's 1533-position model. The record is from RNAcentral.